GACGAACGCUGGCGGCGUGCCUAAUACAUGCAAGUCGAGCGAUGAUUAAAGAUAGCUUGCUAUUUUUAUGAAGAGCGGCGAACGGGUGAGUAACGCGUGGGAAAUCUGCCGAGUAGCGGGGGACAACGUUUGGAAACGAACGCUAAUACCGCAUAACAAUGAGAAUCGCAUGAUUCUAUUUGAAAGAAGCAAUUGCUUCACUACUUGAUGAUCCCGGGUUUUAUUAGUUAGUUGGUAGUGUAAAGGACUACCAAGGCGAUGAUACAUAGCCGACCUGAGAGGGUGAUCGGCCACACUGGGACUGAGACCCGGCCCAGACUCCUACGGGAGGCAGCAGUAGGGAAUCUUCGGCAAUGGGGGCAACCCUGACCGAGCAACGCCGCGUGAGUGAAGAAGGUUUUCGGAUCGUAAAACUCUGUUGUUAGAGAAGAACGUUAAGUAGAGUGGAAAAUUACUUAAGUGACGGUAUCUAACCAGAAAGGGACGGCUAACUACGUGCCAGCAGCCGCCGUAA
RNAcentral lists this ribosomal RNA (514 nucleotides) under uncultured bacterium. RNAcentral describes it as "partial 16S ribosomal RNA". It matches the Rfam family "Bacterial small subunit ribosomal RNA", at positions 28 to 523 of the family's 1533-position model. The record is from RNAcentral.